GUUCAAAUUAUUAUGGGUUUAUGGGGAAUGCCUUGGCGUCAAAAGCCGAAGAAGGGCGUAGCAAGUCUGCGAUAAGCCUCGGUUUGCUGACUA
This 93-nucleotide ribosomal RNA is filed under the name Chloroflexi bacterium TMED230. Its description in RNAcentral is "partial 23S ribosomal RNA". The record is from RNAcentral. Lineage: Bacteria; Bacillati; Chloroflexota.